UACGUAGGAUCCGAGCGUUGUCCGGAGUUACUGGGUGUAAAGGGUGCGUAGGCUGUUCUGUGCGUCAGAGGUGAAAUCCCCGGGCUUAACCUGGGAACUGCGUUUGAAACUACAAGGCUAGAGUGUAGCAGAGGGGGGUGGAAUUCCACGUGUAGCAGUGAAAUGCGUAGAGAUGUGGAGGAACACCGAUGGCGAAGGCAGCCCCCUGGGUUAACACUGACGCUCAGGCACGAAAGCGUGGGGAGCAAACAGG
This 253-nucleotide ribosomal RNA is filed under the name uncultured bacterium. RNAcentral's name for it is "partial 16S ribosomal RNA". It matches the Rfam family "Bacterial small subunit ribosomal RNA", at positions 524 to 776 of the family's 1533-position model. The record is from RNAcentral.